This 499-nucleotide ribosomal RNA is filed under the name uncultured Glomeromycotina. RNAcentral describes it as "partial small subunit ribosomal RNA". It matches the Rfam family "Eukaryotic small subunit ribosomal RNA", at positions 591 to 1091 of the family's 1831-position model. The record is from RNAcentral. Lineage: Eukaryota; Fungi; Glomeromycota.
CCAAUAGCGUAUAUUAAAGUUGUUGCAGUUAAAAAGCUCGUAGUUGAAUUUCGGGAUCAAUAUGUUGGUCGUGCCUUUGGUACGUACUGGCAUUAUUGGUUUCUCUCUUCUGAAGAACCUUGAUGUCAUUAAUUUGGUGUCUUGGGAAAUCAGGACUGUUACCUUGAAAAAAUUAGAGUGUUUAAAGCAGGCUCACGCUUGAAUACAUUAGCAUGGAAUAAUGAAAUAGGACGUUUGAUUCUAUUUUGUUGGUUUCUAGGAUCGACGUAAUGAUUAAUAGGGAUAGUUGGGGGCAUUAGUAUUCAAUUGUCAGAGGUGAAAUUCUUGGAUUUAUUGAAGACUAACUACUGCGAAAGCAUUUGCCAAGGAUGUUUUCAUUAAUCAAGAACGAAAGUUAGGGGAUCGAAGACGAUCAGAUACCGUCGUAGUCUUAACCAUAAACUAUGCCGACUAGGGAUCGGAUGAUGUUAAUUUUUUAAUGACUCAUUCGGCGCCUUAC